Molecule: unclassified non-coding RNA, 351 nt
Filed under: soil metagenome
Description: partial contains 5.8S ribosomal RNA, internal transcribed spacer 2, and large subunit ribosomal RNA
Rfam family: 5.8S ribosomal RNA (bases 1-120)
Source: RNAcentral
GAUGAAGAACGUAGCGAAAUGCGAAAAGUAAUGUGAAUUGCAGAAUUCAGUGAAUCAUCGAAUCUUUGAACGCACAUUGCGCCCGCCAGUAUUCUGGCGGGCAUGCCUGUCUGAGCGUCAUUUCAACCCUCACGCCCCUAGGGCGUGGUGUUGGGGAUCGGCCAAGGCCCGCAAGGGACGGCCGGCCCCUAAAUCUAGUGGCGGACCCAUCGUGGCCUCCCCUGCGAAGUAGUAAUAUAUUCCGCAUCGGAUAGCGAUGAGCCCCUGCCGUUAAACCCCCAACUCUUUCAAGGUUGACCUCAGAUCAGGUAGGAAUACCCGCUGAACUUAAGCAUAUUAAUAAGCGGAGGA